CCUACGGGUGGCAGCAGUGGGGAAUAUUGGACAAUGGGCGAAAGCCUGAUCCAGCCAUGCCGCGUGUGUGAAGAAGGCCUUCGGGUUGUAAAGCACUUUCAGUGGGGAAGAAAGCCUUGGGGCUAAUACCCUCGAGGAAGGACAUCACCCACAGAAGAAGCACCGGCUAACUCCGUGCCAGCAGCCGCGGUAAUACGGAGGGUGCGAGCGUUAAUCGGAAUUACUGGGCGUAAACGCGCGUAGGCGGUCUGAUAAGCCGGUUGUGAAAGCCCCGGGCUCAACCUGGGAACGGCAUCCGGAACUGUCAGGCUAGAGUGCAGGAGAGGAAGGUAGAAUUCCCGGUGUAGCGGUGAAAUGCGUAGAGAUCGGGAGGAAUACCAGUGGCGAAGGCGGCCUUCUGGACUGACACUGACGCUGAGGUGCGAAAGCGUGGGUAGCAAACAGGAUUAGAUACCCCGGUAGUC
RNAcentral lists this ribosomal RNA (464 nucleotides) under Vreelandella stevensii. RNAcentral describes it as "partial 16S ribosomal RNA". It matches the Rfam family "Bacterial small subunit ribosomal RNA", at positions 338 to 795 of the family's 1533-position model. Lineage: Bacteria; Pseudomonadati; Pseudomonadota; Gammaproteobacteria; Oceanospirillales; Halomonadaceae. The record is from RNAcentral.